GCAGGUGGGCAGGUGGGGCAGGUGGGCAGGUGGGGCUGGCAGGUGAGGCAGGGGAGGAAGAGCAGGUGGGGCAGGUGGGCAGGUGGGGCAGGUGGGGCUGGCAGGGGAGACGGGGAGGUGGGGCAGGCAGGGGAGGUGGGGGAGGCAGAGCAGGUGGGGCAGGUGGCAGGUGGGGCAGGUGGGGCAGGCGGGGGAGGCUCCCUCCCUGGGUGGCUGGGCCCUGGAGGCCCAGGUUCGGGUCCAGGUGCUGCCCCCCACUUGCUGCCUGACCCGAACAAGUCCCUCCCGCGUCAGAGUCCUGUCUGUCCUAGGGCGGCGGCUGCUGGUGGAAGGAGCCAGAAGCUCGCAGGUUCUAAGUGCCCGGGGGGCCUCUGGCCACUGGAGGGCAGCAGAGCCCCAGGGACCCCGAGUCCGAGGUUGGGCCAUCCAGAUGGGGCGGCUGAGCUGGAGCCGUUCCCUGGGCAGCCUGGGUUCCCGUUGUUCCUGGUGGAACCCUCUGGAACCCUCUGGAACCUUCCAGUCUGGCCAUCUCCAGGGCUCACAGCCCCCGCAAGAGACAUCCCAGUGAUUAUUCUCCUCCUUUGGCAGCCCUCAAAGUCCACUGUCGCGGAUGGGGAAACCGAGGCCCGGAGAGGCAGCGGCGCCCAGGAUCCCCCUCGGCCUCUGCGAGCGAGCGAGGCCCAGACGGCCGCCCUGAGGGGCGUCGCAGGUGCGUGCCGUGGGCGGCCACCCCGUGGGGCCAGCAGCCGUCAGACGGGCGUGGGGCCAGGGGGCACUGGGCGGGAGGCGGGACCCGGGAGUGCCCUGGGGGUGCCCAGCCCGGAGCCCCUCCUAGGACCCGCUCCCCUCUCAGGGCCCAGCUGAGAGAGGUGCAGCCUCUGGGCGGGGGGUGGGGCGGGGGGUUGCUAAAGGCUCGGGGAGAAGCAGGUGGGGACGAGGAGGACCGUGGGAGGGGUGGGGCUGAGCCCCUGCUGACCUCCUGGAGCUUGCCAGGGUCAGGCAGCGGGGCCCUCACUGCCCAGCAUCAGCCACACCCCUCCGCCCCCGGCACUGGAAAGGCCUCUCCUUGCAUGCCUCCAGCUCCGGGAAGCUCACCACACCCAGUAGCUCUGAUGGGGGGAACUUCCCUGGGUGCCCUGAGAGCCCUGCCUGAGAGGCUUCCCGGGACACCCCCGUCCCUAGGGCAGGACUGACCGUGAUCAUCAACAGCCCAGCAACCCAGAAGGGCCGAGGGGCUUGGCUGGGCCCCAGCUGGCACAGAUUAGCUGGGGGACUUCCAACUCCUGGCAAGGUCUCCGCAGGUGAGGGAAGGGCGUGGGGAGGGAGGAAGGAAGGAAUGAGGAAGCAGAGGAGGAGGAGGAAAGGGAGGGGGGAGGGAGGAGGACCAGGAUGUCCCGGAGCUCCGUUGCUAAGGGCAACAGCAAUGCAUUGGGAGAAGGAGCCAGAUGCGGAGGCGGGUGGCAGGAAGGGGGAGCUGGGGUCCAGGAGGGUUUGGGGGCAGGGCUUGCCCGGCAGCAAGCACCCCACGGGGCCCUGGUGGCAGCUCCCCACGGCCACGCCUGCUCUGGGCUACGACGAGGGCAAGCAGUGGUGAGGCUGGUGCCCGAGCAGGGCUGGGAGCGCACAAUCCAUCGCUGGCAGCCUUGCCCGGACCCCCUGGGCACUCCGGGCGCCAGCCGGCCCUCUCCUGCUCCCGCCUCUCUGAAGGGAGCAACAUGCAGUUGCAGCAAAAAUUCAAGGUGAAGGUUCUAGACCCGGGAGGCUUGGGAGACUCCCAGCUCCCCUGGGCUUCAUUUUCUGGGUCUUUAAAAUGAGGCAGGGAAUCCCCAGGUGGCUCAGCGGUUUAGCACCUGCCUUUGGCCAAGGAGACCCGGGAUCGAGACCCGGAAUCGAGUCCCGCAUCGGGAUCCCAGCAGGGAGCCUGCUUCUCCCUCUGCCUGUGUCUCUGCCUCUCUCUCUCAUGUCUCUCAUGAAUAAAUAAGUAAAAUAUUUUAAAAAAAGAUAGUAUUAUAAGAAAUAUAAGAGGGGAAAAAUUGAUAAAAGUCGCGUCUUACCUUGCAUUUACUGGGCACCAGGGAGGAGUCCGUACUCCCAUUUUCCAGAUGAACAAACUGAGGCCCAGGACAGCUGGUUAGUGAAAGCACCGGGAACUAAACAUAAAUCUGUAAGAUUCCAAAGCUCUCAACCCCUCUUGGUGUUCCUCCCGCCAGGAUCUCCCUGCUAUUGCCCUUGAGGAACCCUCCUGUGCCAGGAUUAUGUCCCAGGCUCUCAGCUCUGCUCCAAACAACCCGCCUUCCCCACUUUCAGAGCAGAGCCCCUGCUCAGCCCACCAACCUCCUCUGCCUAACCUGCAUGCAGGGUCACGCUCACCCCUCCCCAGGGCAUUCGGGGUCCUAUGACAUGGCCAGUCCCUCCCUCUCCCUGUCCCUGCCACACGCCCGCAGCCUGACCUGUUUGCUUCCUGCCUCUUCUGGAUAGCCCUAUUAUUGCUUAAAACCACCCCAAAAUGUAGUGGCAUCAGACACUGACCAUUUUAUUAUGCUCCUGGGCUCCGUAGUUCCGGCAUUUGUGCAGGUGCAGGGGGGACAGCUUGUAGCUGCUCUGUGCUGUGUGGGGCCUCAGUGGUGCAGGUGAGUUUACACUGGGGUCUGGAGUCACAGGGGGCUCGUGCACUGGCAUGUCUGACCAUCAAUGGUGACGGUGAGCUGGGGGGGGGCUGUUGACAGGAGCACUUACAUGCGCCCAUUUACAUGGCCUGGGUUUCCUCAUGGCAUGGAGGCCUCCACCCACAGAGGACUUCUGGCUUGGUAGCUAAGAGCGCCAGGAAUGAGGUCCCAGCAGACGAGUGGAAGCCACAUUGCGAUUCUGCGACCCAACCUCAGAGGUCCCAGGGUGUCAGUUCUGCUGUCGUCUAUCGGGCAAGGAGGUGGCGAGGCUGCUCAGGCUUCAGAGGAGGAACAGAGACCCAGGAGUCCAGCAGCAGGCAAGGGGACCCUGGAGGGGUGACACUGUGUCUCUCAUAAAUAAUAAAUAAAUAAAUAAAUAAAUAAAUAAAUAAAUAAAUAAAUAAAUAAAAUCUUUAAUAAAAUAAUUUUAAAAAGGUACUUUUGGGAGAAAACCACAUUAAAAAAACAAAAAAGGACAGGACGGCAACGACACAUGUGCCUCCCAGAGGACAUCUGGUCCCCCUCGCUCUUCUCUGGCGCUCUGGCUCCUUCUCCGUGGCCUCUAACUCACCCGAGCUUCCCAGGGCUCUAAUAUUUCCCUGCUGAGGCCCCUCCUGGAAGAGUCCUUGCGGGACUCUUACCUC
Molecule: long non-coding RNA, 3310 nt
Filed under: Canis lupus familiaris (dog)
Lineage: Eukaryota; Metazoa; Chordata; Mammalia; Carnivora; Canidae
Description: lncRNA (ENSCAFG00040022006.1)
Source: RNAcentral